AAGCGUAAUAGCUCACUAGUCGAGUCGGCCUGCGCGGAAGAUGUAACGGGGCUAAACCAGGUACCGAAGCUACGGGUUCACACUUAGGUGUGAGCGGUAGAGGAGCGUCGUGUAAGCCAAUGAAGGUGAAUUGAGAAGUUCGCUGGAGGUAUCACGAGUGCGAAUGCUGACAUGAGUAACGAUAAAGGGAGUGAAAAACUCCCUCGCCGGAAGACCAAGGGUUUCUGUUCGACGCUAAUCGGAGCAGAGUGAGUCGGCCCCUAAGGCGAGGCCGAAAGGCGUAGUCGAUGGGAAACGGGUCAAUAUUCCCGUACCGGACAUGGUUGCGAUGGGGGGACGAAGAAGGCUAGGUGAGCCAGGCGUUGGUUGUCCUGGUGAAAGUGAGUAGGCUGAGGGUUUAGGUAAAUCCGGACCCUUUUAAGGCCGAGACACGAAACGAACUGACCACGGUCAGGAAGUCACUGAUGCCACGCUUCCAGGAAAAGCCUCUAAGCUUCAGAUCAUGUGCGACCGUACCCCAAACCGACACAGGUGGUCAGGGUGAGAAUCCCAAGGCGCUUGAGAGAACUCGGGUGAAGGAACUAGGCAAAAUGGUGCCGUAACUUCGGGAGAAGGCACGCCGGCGUAGGGUGAUGAGACUUGCUCUCUAAGCCCGAACCGGUCGAAGAUACCAGGUGGCUGCAACUGUUUAUUAAAAACACAGCACUCUGCUAACGCGCAAGCGGACGUAUAGGGUGUGACGCCUGCCCGGUGCCGGAAGGUUAAAUGAUGGUGUUAGCCGCAAGGCGAAGCUCUUGAUUGAAGCCCCGGUAAACGGCGGCCGUAACUAUAACGGUCCUAAGGUAGCGAAAUUCCUUGUCGGGUAAGUUCCGACCUGCACGAAUGGCGUAAUGAUGGCCACGCUGUCUCCACCCGAGACUCAGUGAAAUUGAAAUCGCCGUGAAGAUGCGGUGUACCCGCGGCUAGACGGAAAGACCCCGUGAACCUUUACUAUAGCUUCACACUGGACGCUGAUGUUGCCUGUGUAGGAUAGCUGGGAGGCUUUGAACUCCGGACGCCAGUUCGGAGGGAGCCAACCUUGAAAUACCAGCCUGGCAUCAUUGGCGUUCUCACUCAGGUCCGUUAUCCGGAUCGAGGACAGUGUGUGGUGGGUAGUUUGACUGGGGCGGUCUCCUCCUAAAGAGUAACGGAGGAGCACGAAGGUUGGCUAAGUACGGUCGGACAUCGUACGGU
RNAcentral lists this ribosomal RNA (1233 nucleotides) under seawater metagenome. RNAcentral's name for it is "bacterial LSU rRNA". It matches the Rfam family "Bacterial large subunit ribosomal RNA", at positions 1130 to 2346 of the family's 2925-position model. The record is from RNAcentral.